Molecule: unclassified non-coding RNA, 394 nt
Filed under: Hevea brasiliensis (rubber tree)
Lineage: Eukaryota; Viridiplantae; Streptophyta; Magnoliopsida; Malpighiales; Euphorbiaceae
Source: RNAcentral
CCAAUUGGGUUGGAGCAGAUCCCUGUGGGAGUAGUUGGGACGGAAUUGGAUGCAGAAAUUCACGAGUGGUUUCUAUUACAUUGUCAAGUAUGAGUUUGGAAGGUCAGCUAUCUGGGGAUAUCCAAGGAUUAGCUGAAUUGGAGACUUUGGAUCUAUCAUACAACAAGGAGUUGAAAGGAUCUCUUCCUCAGUCUAUUGGAAAAUUGACAAAGCUAUCAAAUUUGAUCCUUGUUGGUUGUGGAUUUUCGGGACCAAUACCAGACACCAUAGGAUCUCUGACCCGGCUGGUUUUUCUAUCUUUGAACUCUAACAACUUUAUUGGAGGAAUACCUGCUACCGUUGGCUAUCUGACAGAGCUUUAUUGGCUGGAUUUAGCUGACAAUAAGCUUACAGG